RNAcentral lists this ribosomal RNA (450 nucleotides) under uncultured bacterium. RNAcentral's name for it is "partial 16S ribosomal RNA". It matches the Rfam family "Bacterial small subunit ribosomal RNA", at positions 354 to 796 of the family's 1533-position model. The record is from RNAcentral.
GUGGGGAAUCUUCCGCAAUGGACGAAAGUCUGACGGAGCAACGCCGCGUGAGUGAUGAAGGUCUUCGGAUUGUAAAGCUCUGUUAAUCGGGACGAAAGAGCCUAGUGUGAAUAAUGCUAGGAAGUGACGGUACCGGAAUAGAAAGCCACGGCUAACUACGUGCCAGCAGCCGCGGUAAUACGUAGGUGGCAAGCGUUGUCCGGAAUUAUUGGGCGUAAAGCGCGCGCAGGCGGAUCUGCCAGUCUGUCUUAAAAGUUCGGGGCUUAACCCCGUGAUGGGAUGGGAACUACAGAUAUAGAGUAUCGGAGAGGAAAGUGGAAUUCCUAGUGUAGCGGUGAAAUGCGUAGAUAUUAGGAAGAACACCAGUGGCGAAGGCGACUUGCUGGCCAGCAACUGACGCUGAGGCGCGAAAGCCAGGGGAGCAAACGGGAUUAGAAACCCCAGUAGUCC